Molecule: ribosomal RNA, 216 nt
Filed under: Glomeromycotina sp.
Lineage: Eukaryota; Fungi; Glomeromycota
Description: partial small subunit ribosomal RNA
Rfam family: Eukaryotic small subunit ribosomal RNA (bases 40-216)
Source: RNAcentral
GGGUCAGUAGGUUGGUCGUGCCACCGGUACGUACUGGUCUCACUGAUUCCUCCUUCCUGAAGAACCGUAAUGCCAUUAAUUUGGUGUUGCGUGGAAACAGGACUGUUACUUUGAAAAAAUUAGAGUGUUUAAAGCAAGCUAACGCUUGAAUACAUUAGCAUGGAAUAAUGAAAUAGGACGAUCGAUCUUCUUUUGUUGGUUUCUAGGAUUGACGUA